Molecule: ribosomal RNA, 515 nt
Filed under: uncultured bacterium
Lineage: Bacteria
Description: bacterial SSU rRNA
Rfam family: Bacterial small subunit ribosomal RNA
Source: RNAcentral
AUUGAACGCUGGCGGCAUGCCUUACACAUGCAAGUCGAACGGUAACAGGUCUUCGGAUGCUGACGAGUGGCGAACGGGUGAGUAAUACAUCGGAACGUGCCCGAUCGUGGGGGAUAACGCAGCGAAAGCUGUGCUAAUACCGCAUACGAUCUACGGAUGAAAGCGGGGGAUCGCAAGACCUCGCGCGGACGGAGCGGCCGAUGGCAGAUUAGGUAGUUGGUGGGAUAAAAGCUUACCAAGCCGACGAUCUGUAGCUGGUCUGAGAGGACGACCAGCCACACUGGGACUGAGACACGGCCCAGACUCCUACGGGAGGCAGCAGUGGGGAAUUUUGGACAAUGGGGGAAACCCUGAUCCAGCCAUGCCGCGUGCAGGAUGAAGGCCUUCGGUUGUAAACGUGCUUUGUACGGUAACGAAAAGGUACCGUUUACUUAAUUAAAGUAAGGGACGUCAUGACGGUACCGGUAAGAAUAAGACACCGGCUAACUACUGCCAGCAGCCGCGGUAAACGUAAC